AAACAACCUAAAUAAUGCAAUUUCUUAAGGAGAAUCCGUAAUAAAGAGGCCAAUUGCCAGCAUAGAAGUAUUAUAUAGACUUCAUCCAUGCAGUCACAUAAUAAAGCUGUAACUUAGUACCUUUGUGUAUUGAAAUUCAGUUACAGGUCUUGUAUUUCCAGGUGUUUUUAAAGAUUUGGAUCUAGCCUCAACCCCAUCCCUAUCCUUCAAUAUUUGAUUUUUUACAAUCAUUUUCCAAUUGUUUGGUGAUUAUUAAGUAGAGGCGUAGUUAAAUGAAAUGGCUGCAAGAAAGCAUUUCGGUUUUCUGCCCAGAUGAUUUGGGUCCUAUCCUUUGGAAAAUUUGUUUAAGCUCCAGCCAUUACUGUUUGGCUGACCUUUCCAUUGGUGGGUAACUAUGGUAGGAUCUAUAUUUGCUUGCCAAUUAAUAAUCAGUAGAUUGGAAAGUAGUUGACAGCAAAAAAAUGGUGAAGCCCAUUUCAUCCCUAUUACAGAUGAUUCAUACUUAUGGAGAGAUCAAUUGGACUAGAGGAUGGGAAUUGACUAAAGGAGACAUGAAUCCAGAAUCCUCAAAUAACUUUCUGAAGCAGUGGACUCGAGAUUCAAUUGUCAGCCUUCAAUUGAAACUCAAAGCAUUUUCACACAUCCAAUAUGCCCACCUUCAAUAUCCUUUGGCCGACCUAAUCACAAUGUGGGCAGUUUUCAGUUGAUCUCUGAAAUGGUACUGCUAUUUACUAAUCUCUAGUUGGAAAGUAUAUAUUUAAAAAGAAAAACAGAUGAUUUCACCAAAAGUCAAUAUGUAUUGCUG
RNAcentral lists this long non-coding RNA (805 nucleotides) under Androctonus crassicauda. The record is from RNAcentral. Lineage: Eukaryota; Metazoa; Arthropoda; Arachnida; Scorpiones; Buthidae.